Molecule: ribosomal RNA, 253 nt
Filed under: uncultured bacterium
Lineage: Bacteria
Description: partial 16S ribosomal RNA
Rfam family: Bacterial small subunit ribosomal RNA
Source: RNAcentral
UACGUAGGGUGCGAGCGUUGUCCGGAAUUACUGGGUGUAAAGGGUGCGCAGGCGGGUCUGUUUGUCGGAGGUUAAAGACCUCGGCUUAACCGAGGGAGUGCCUUCGAAACGGCAGAUCUUGAAUAUGAGAGAGGAUGAUAGAAUUCCUGGUGUAGCGGUGAAAUGCGUAGAUAUCAGGAGGAAUACCAGUGGCGAAGGCGGUCAUCUGGCUCAUCAUUGACGCUCAGGCACGAAAGCGUGGGUAGCGAACAGG